RNAcentral lists this ribosomal RNA (535 nucleotides) under uncultured Actinomycetes bacterium. Its description in RNAcentral is "bacterial SSU rRNA". It matches the Rfam family "Bacterial small subunit ribosomal RNA", at positions 355 to 897 of the family's 1533-position model. Lineage: Bacteria; Bacillati; Actinomycetota; Actinomycetes. The record is from RNAcentral.
UGGGGAAUCUUGCGCAAUGGGCGAAAGCCUGACGCAGCGACACCGCGUGGGGGAUGAAGGCCCUUAGGGUCGUAAACCCCUUUCGGCAGGGACGAAGCGAUCACGUGACGGUACCUGCAGAAGAAGCCUCGGCUAACUACGUGCCAGCAGCCGCGGUAACACGUAGGAGGCGAGCGUUGUCCGGAAUCAUUGGGCGUAAAGAGCGCGCAGGCGGCCCGGCAAGUCGGGUGUGAAAUCCCGGGGCUCAACCCCGGGACUGCAUCCGAUACUGUCGGGCUAGAGGUAGGUAGGGGAGAUCGGAAUUCCUGGUGUAGCGGUGAAAUGCGCAGAUAUCAGGAGGAACACCGGUGGCGAAGGCGGAUCUCUGGGCCUUACCUGACGCUCAGGCGCGAAAGCUAGGGGAGCGAACAGGAUUAGAUACCCUGGUAGUCCUAGCCGUAAACGUUGGGUGCUAGGUGUGGGCGGAUAUCGACCCCGUCCGUGCCGAAGCUAACGCAUUAAGCACCCCGCCUGGGGAGUACGGCCGCAAGGCUAA